UACGAAGGGGGCUAGCGUUGUUCGGAAUCACUGGGCGUAAAGCGCACGUAGGCGGAUUUGUAAGUAAGGAGUGAAAUCCCGGGGCUCAACCUCGGAACUGCCCUUGAUACUGCAAGUCUCGAGUUCGGGAGAGGUGAGUGGAAUUCCUAGUGUAGAGGUGAAAUUCGUAGAUAUUAGGAAGAACACCAGUGGCGGAGGCGGCUCACUGGCCCGAUACUGACGCUGAGGUGCGAAAGCGUGGGGAGCAAACAGG
This 253-nucleotide ribosomal RNA is filed under the name uncultured bacterium. Its description in RNAcentral is "partial 16S ribosomal RNA". It matches the Rfam family "Bacterial small subunit ribosomal RNA", at positions 524 to 776 of the family's 1533-position model. The record is from RNAcentral.